GUUUGAGACUUUUUAAUAAAUGAAAAAUGUGAAGUAAAUUAAAGGAAAAGAAGUUAAAUAAUGCCAGAAAACUGAUAGGACUUGAAUUUAUAACCUUUGCUUAGAAUUAGUCUUUCCAAUUGUUGCGGUUGGAACUGCAGCCAAUUUGGGCAUAGUUUCAACUGCUACAGUUGGAUCUCCUCCUGCAGUUGCUACUCUAGCAAUUUGAGUUAAAUAUUAAACCAAAUAUCAAAUUUAUAUUUACAUACAGUAACAACUACAAGCAACCAAACGGCCCUGAGUGCAACUACUUAAACCCAAAA
RNAcentral lists this long non-coding RNA (302 nucleotides) under Ananas comosus (pineapple). RNAcentral describes it as "long non-coding RNA (ACOM_LNC004761)". Lineage: Eukaryota; Viridiplantae; Streptophyta; Magnoliopsida; Poales; Bromeliaceae. The record is from RNAcentral.